RNAcentral lists this ribosomal RNA (576 nucleotides) under fungal sp. Its description in RNAcentral is "eukaryotic LSU rRNA". It matches the Rfam family "Eukaryotic large subunit ribosomal RNA", at positions 39 to 618 of the family's 3401-position model. Lineage: Eukaryota; Fungi. The record is from RNAcentral.
AAUUUCCAAUAGCGGAGGAAAAGAAACCAACAGGGAUUACCUCAGUAACGGCGAGUGAAGCGGUAACAGCUCAAAUUUGAAAUCUGGCUCUUUUAGGGUCCGAGUUGUAAUUUGUAGAAGAUGCUUCGGGUGUGGCUCCGGUCUAAGUUCCUUGGAACAGGACGUCAUAGAGGGUGAGAAUCCCGUAUGUGACUGGUUGCCUUCGCCCAUGUGAAGCUCUUUCGACGAGUCGAGUUGUUUGGGAAUGCAGCUCUAAAUGGGUGGUAAAUUUCAUCUAAAGCUAAAUAUUGGCCAGAGACCGAUAGCGCACAAGUAGAGUGAUCGAAAGAUGAAAAGCACUUUGGAAAGAGAGUUAAACAGUACGUGAAAUUGUUGAAAGGGAAGCGCUUGCAACCAGACUUGCACGCCGUCGAUCAUCCUCCGUUCUCGGGGGUGCACUCGGCGGUGUUCAGGCCAGCAUCGGUUUCGGUGGUGGGAUAAAGGCCUUGGGAACGUAACUCCUCUCGGGGAGUGUUAUAGCCCUCGGUGCAAUGCCGCCUACCGGGACCGAGGACCGCGCUCGGCUAGGUGGAUUGC